GCAUUUGUGGCUCAGUGGUUAGAGUUGUUCUUUCCGAUUACGUCGUAAUGGAACGGGUCGCAGGUUCGAAUCCUGUCAAAUGCG
This 84-nucleotide transfer RNA is filed under the name Tilletia indica. It matches the Rfam family "tRNA". From Rfam's summary of the family: Transfer RNA (tRNA) molecules are approximately 80 nucleotides in length. Their secondary structure includes four short double-helical elements and three loops (D, anti-codon, and T loops). Further hydrogen bonds mediate the characteristic L-shaped molecular structure. tRNAs have two regions of fundamental functional importance: the anti-codon, which is responsible for specific mRNA codon recognition, and the 3' end, to which the tRNAs corresponding amino acid is attached (by aminoacyl-tRNA synthetases). tRNAs cope with the degeneracy of the genetic code in two manners: having more than one tRNA (with a specific anti-codon) for a particular amino acid; and 'wobble' base-pairing, i.e. permitting non-standard base-pairing at the 3rd anti-codon position. Lineage: Eukaryota; Fungi; Basidiomycota; Exobasidiomycetes; Tilletiales; Tilletiaceae. RNAcentral also lists the same sequence under 1 other name. The record is from Rfam by way of RNAcentral.